CUUCGGAGAUACAGUAAGUGGCGACGGGUGAGUAAAAUGUAGAGAAUCUGCCCUAGAGAUGGGGACAACAGUUGGAAACGGCUGCUAAUACCCAAUAUGAGCGUAGUUGAAAUACGUAUCUUGAAAACUCCGGUGCUCUGGGAUGAGUCUGCAUCUGAUUAGCUAGUUGGGGGGUGUAAUGGACCACCAAGGCGACGAUCAGUAGCUAGUUUGAGAGGAUGAUCAGCCACAAUGGGACUGAGACACGGCCCAUACUCCUACGGGAGGCAGCAGUAGGGAAUUUUGCGCAAUGGGGGAAACCCUGACGCCAGCAACGCCGCGUGACUGAAGAAGCCCUUCGGGGUGUAAAGGUCUGUCAGUGGGGACGAAUAUUGACGGUACCCACAGAGGAAGCAUCGGCUAACUCCGUGCCAGCCGCGGC
This 421-nucleotide ribosomal RNA is filed under the name uncultured bacterium. RNAcentral's name for it is "bacterial SSU rRNA". It matches the Rfam family "Bacterial small subunit ribosomal RNA", at positions 78 to 518 of the family's 1533-position model. The record is from RNAcentral.